CUGCUCAGGACGACCAAAUUGAUAUCUCAGCAUUUGAUUGGCCUGGUGCCCAGAAGCACCAUGGGAAAGAAUUUGAAGACUCUUGGCGGUUGAGAUUCAGACCUUGACGGUUGUAACUGAUGGAUUGGGCUGGGGCACUGCUGAUGAACAUCACAUUCCUGAGAGAAAAAUCACCCAGAGUAAGCUGUUGUGCAUGAUAGACUAGACUCAGCAGCAAGGAGUGUUCCUGGAAAAAUGUGGUGUUUCCAAGCACAGACAUUUGAAUCCAUCUGGACCCCAUGCCUUGAGAGGGCUCUGUGCCUUGUGAAUGAGAGGAUUUUGAAAUAAAACUGAAAAACAAAACAAAUGUCAUUUGGGGUCCCAGCCGUUGAGAGAGUGGGGCACUAGAAGGGAAAAUGUUUCCCUGUUGGAUGGAGAGAGGUGGUAGGACCGGAGAUUAAGAGGCAGGUGAUGAGGAAAUACAGACACGGGUGAGAACAGAUAAAGCAGAGUCAUUGAGGUCAGGAGUGGGUCAGUGCUCCCCCAUGGGGCUCUGAGUUGGUGCUGUGCAUCGCAUUAUCAGGCACUGCUCUGAGGGCUGUGGGGAUUUUUCAGAAUCAAGAGAAGGUUCUUAAUUUUAAGGAGAGAAUAACCCAUGUGAAAGGAUGGGGCACGAUGACCAACAAUACAGGGCAGUGACAUUUUUAAAUAGUACCAAUAAUAAGAGCACUAGCGAUUUAGAGGAGAAAGGGUUUCUGGGAAGGCGAUUAGAGGAGGCUCAGAGGGACCUUAAUAGAAAAGCCUUCAAAUAGAGAGCACAUGUAGGUAGUUGGAGGCAGAAGUGUUGGGGGCAAGAAACAUUUCUAAGAGCUGAGAUGUGCCUUGAUUCUGUCAGCACCUUCGGGCAUCUUUUGGUAUCCCACCUAUUAUAAUCAUUGUGCUUACUUUUGGUUUUUCAGUGUCUUCUCCAGCUUUCUAGAAGUCAUUAUGAGGGGCCUUGACUAACUAGAGAGACUCAUACAGAAACCUCUGCCUCCAUCACAGCUACUUCAUUGCCGUGUUCGUCCACGAUGGCUACCCUUGAGGAGGAUCGUCACUGGGCCUCAGAGAAGAGAGAAAACCAACAGGCCAUCAACCACAAAUUGAAAAUUGAAGUUGACAGGCAAGUCUAAAUAUUUGGACUAAGAGUUGUAUCUAGUGUGAAGUUAUAUUCUUAAAGGGAAUGAACUAUAUCUGAGCAAGACAUGAGUUAGUGAACGAAUUUUGUCAAUGUGGCUAUUUGUAUAAUUCACAUGAGUGUAUAUUAUAAUACUUCAGAUGAAGACCUUUACCCUGGUUCACUUUUUAAAAAUGUAUUUAUUUUUAUUGCAGUAACAUCAGUUUAUAACAUUGUAUAAAUUUCAGAUGUACCUCAUUAUAUAUUUCGAUUUAUGUGUAGAUUACAUGUUCACCACACAAAGACUAAUUAUAAUCCAUCACCACACACAUGUGCCUAGUCACCCCUUUUGCCCUCCUCCCUCCCCUCUUCCCCUCUGGUAACCACCAAUCCAAUCUCUGUUUCUAUGUGUUUGUUUGUUGUUGUUUUUAUCUCCUACUUAGGAGUGAGAUCAUAUGGUAUUGACUUUCUCCCUCUGACUUAUUUCACUUAGUAUAAUACCCUUGAGGUCCAUCCAUGUUGUCACAAAUGGCUGAAUUUCAUCGUUUUUUUAUGGCUGAGUAGUAUUCCAUUGUGUAUAUAUACCACAACCUCUUUAUCCAUUCCUCCCUUGAUGGGCACCUAGGUUGCUUCCAAGUCUCGGCUAUUGUGAAAAAUGCUGUGAUGAACAUAGGGGUGCGUGUAUCAUUAUGCAUUUGUGUUUUAAUGUUCUUUGGAUAAAUACUCAGCAGUGGAAUAGCUGGAUCGUAUGGUAGAUGUAUUCUUAAUUUUUUGAGGAAUCUCUGUACUGUUUUCCAUAGUGGCUGUACCAGUUUGCACUCCCACUAGCAGUGUCUGAGGCUUCCCUUCUCCCCACAUCCUCUCCAACACUUGUUGUUUCCUGUCUUGUUGAUAUCUCAUUGUAGUUUUAUUUUGCAUUUCCCUGAUAGUUAAUGAUGUUGAACAUCUUUUCAUGUGCCUGUUGGCCAUCUGUGUGUCUUCUUUGGAGAAAUGUCUGUUCAGAUCUUUUGCUCAUUUUUAAAUUGGGUUCUUAGUUUUUUUGUUGUUGUGAUGUAUGAGUUCUUUGUGUAUUUUAGAUAUUAACCCCUUAUCAGAUGUAUGGAUUGUGAAUAUCUUCUCCCAAUUGUUAGGUUGUCUUUUCAUCUUGUUGAUGGUUUCCUUUGCUGUGCAGAAGAUCGUUAGUUUGAUGUAGUCCCAUUUGUUUAUUUUUCCUAUUGUUUCCCUUGCCGAGUCAGACAUGGUACUUGAAAAUAUGCUGCUGAGACCAGCGUUGAAGAGUGUACUGCCUAUGUUUUCUUCUAGAAGUUUAAUGGUUUCAAGUCUUACAUUCAAGUCUUUAAUCCACUUUGAGUUAAUUUUUGUGUAUGGUGUAAGAUAAUAGUCUACUGUCAUUCUUUUGCAUGUGGCUGUCCAGUUUUCCCAACACCAUUUACUGAAGAGACUUUCCUUUCUUCAUUGUAUGUUCUUGGCUCCCUUGUCGAAGACUAUCUGUCCACAGCCUGGUUCACUUUUGGCUCUAUCUGAUAUAACACAAGUUUCCUGUAAAACGGGAGAUAUAAAAUAAUUACAAGGUUAAGAGAAUUUUCAUACAGGUGCUCAUCCUCAUGAUGCCCUAUUGGAAAAUGAAGAUCAAUAUAACAUGGAUUGGAGAAUUAAUGUUCUAGUCAGGCUAAUUCUAUUUUUUGCUCAACCUAGGAGAGAAGAGUUUAUUAUGCAAUGAACAUAAUUUUCUCCCAGUGCCACCAUUGCCUUUUGGUCGAAUAUAGCCAGCACCAAGUGAACGGGUUAGAAGUAAGGGGUCACAUAUAUAGCUUGACAGAUAUUCUGUUCCCAGGCAGCCUGCAUGGGUGGCCAUACUGUCCUGCACUGAGAGUCUAUUUUCUCCUUGAAUUAUCCAGGCCAGCUCUCAGUCGCAUGAACUCACCAAUUCAUUGCCAACCUUUCAAUUCCCUUGAAGUGACAAGUGAAUAAAAACCUGCCCUCUAUUGCAAACCUCUAACUUCCAACAGCACCCCUUUCUGGCCUGUGUUUUUGAAUCUGGAGUUUUAGCAACCAAAUACCAGAGAGGUUGUGAGGUGGGUAUUUUUGAGUUUUGGCUUCAUGUUUGAUCCAAGAUGUCAUAUUUGAAAGGAAAGUGAUUCUUUGGUGUUAUCUUUUUUUCCGAGGAAGAUUAGCCCUGAGCUAACUGCUACCAAUACUCUUUUUGCUGAGGAAGACUGGCCCUGAGCUAACAUCCAUGCCCAUCUUCCUCUAUUUUAUCUGUGGGAUGCCUACCACAGCAUGGCUUGCCAAGCAGUGCCAUGUCCACACUGGGGAUCCAAACCGCCGAACCCUGGGCCGCCAAAGCGGAACAUGUGCACUUAACUCCUGCACCAUGGGGCGGGCCCUGGGGUUAUUUUUUUAAACAAAAAUACCGUUACUGCCAUCCCAACUCUACCACUCCCUACUAAAGAUCAGCCCUAAACAAGUUUCUGGGGUUUCUGGGCCACUGGUUUAUCAAAAAUACUGCCAAUAUUAAACUUUAAGUUAUAUUAAUUUACUUAAUACUCAUUUCUUUCUCUUCUUUUCUUUCUUUCUUCACCCCCACCCCCUUCCUUCUUUCUUUCCUCCCUCCCUUUGAGGGGAUGUUUGCUUUUCCACUCUAGCUGCUCCAUAGCUGUUCCGUGGACAUAACAUCCCACUCCCACCUGACAACCCUUCAACCGUUUACAUCCAUUGCCUGAUGGUCAGAUGGGCAGCCCCAGGGGUGAGAGAGGAAUUAAGCCCUUCUCCCUGCUACAUCCCCUUCCCAGGGAGAUCAUCAAGAGCCCAUGGAGAACUGUGUCCUGGGAAUAACCUUGGUCUUUCUGAAAAUCGUGAGGUUCAAGGAGUUUAAGAGCGAGAAUUACUGAUUUCUUUGGAACUCUUUUUACCUCAGGGCUCUUAGGAGAUGGACUGAGUGAAAUGUGUGAUUGCGUCUGCAAGCACAAGGGGCCUCAGCCACAGCUCCGAGCUCUGCAGACAGCCACUGGCCCUGGGGAUUGGUGGUUAUUAAAAUGUUAAGUGAAAUAGGCAGUUUAACGCUGUUCACUUACAUAAAGAGGAAAAGGUACGGAUAAAAGAUCUGAAGUAACCUGAAGUAUUCACAGCUGCACGUGAGACUAUGCUCGAUAGUUUUCUUCUUUUUUUUUGCACCUCCCAACCCACAAAGAGCAUGUGUUAUUUUUAUCAAUAGAGGGUUAAAAAAAAAUUCCUUUAAGAAGAAAUAAUGUAGGGGUAGAAAUUGUGCUUCUUUAAUUUCAUUGUUGUGGUUAAUGACUUCUACAGUGGACACCUGCCCUGGUACCUGGGUCAUGAUUUACUCUCGUGGCAAUCCGGGGUCUGUUCUAGUGCUCCUCGGGCAGCAGAAAUACUGGUGUCUCAGAGUCCCCGAAAUGAACUUCUAACCUAUGGAGUCCUGUGGGCUUGUCAUGGUAAUCAAGCUGUGCUGCCAGCCUGCUAAUUUUAAUAACAGAAUCAUAAAGUUUUAGACCUAGAAAGAUCUGGAGGAAUCAUCUGUUUUCUCAUUUUUGUGGCAGAACCAGGAUAAGAGUUUGAUAGUAAGAUCUACCUUUAAGUAAGCAGCUACUAUGUGCCAUGAAUGGUACUAGGUACUUUAUGUAGAUUAAUCUUUAAUCACACUGUCAAGGUAAGUCUUAGCCCUACCCUGAUUUUAUAGAGGAAGUAGGGGUAUAGAGACUAAAAAGCUUUUCCUAAAUCAUCCAACUAGAGUCCAAGGUAGGUUUUGCAUUCGUGUUUGUCUGGUUCUAAAAAGAGCUCUUGCCAUGCCUCUUUAUUUCCAGCAUGGGCUACUUGACUUCCAGUCUUAGAGUUUUAUCUCUUGUCUCCACGUUUAAAACUCCGGUCUCUUUUAACCUGUGUGAGUUGAGCUGACCCACACCCAAAUUACAUUCCUCUUGCUGGGACAGCCUGUGUUGUCAUGAGGAAGCCCACCCCAAGUUUAAAGGCCCACACUAGCUCUUCCUCAAAGCAAUGGGCCUGCAGGCCUUCAGCCUGAGCUCACGCUUGCUUUUAUUUACUCACCCGCUCCCCUUUCAUUGUGAGUGUUCCCAUUCAUAGGCUGUGGGAAUGCCCAGCCAGAGUGAGGGUGUGGUGACCAGGAGAUUGUCACCAGCGCCCUAGCCAGAGGAGGGGAGCUGGGAGGAGGCCAUAGCACCCUGAGGCCUCAGGCUGCCACCUCCAGGUCCUUCUGCCCUCCUGCUGUGGGAAGGCUGGGCUGCCCCAGUCAUUGGGAAAAAGAGAACUGAGGGCUUUCUGAGGUGAAGGUGGAGGGGAGGCAGGGCAGAGAGGAUCUUCUCUUCAGAGGGAAGUAGAGACUCCUAAAUCACGAAGUGGCUUGAUUUAGAGUAAGCUCUCCACGUUUCAGCCUGGCCGGAGGCGUUCUGGUUAAUCAGAUAUUCUUAACAAGGGUGAUGGUGUGUGCUAUACGUGGCUGAACAUUUUUCCAGGGAUUAUAACACAGAAAAGUAUGGGUAAAACCCAAACUGCGCUAAAUAGAAUUAAAUCUUUCUUUGAUGAUUCAUAAGGCCUUUAGGAUCCUGUGGUGCCUCAGGGUCACCAUUAAUUUUAUCAUCAUCCUUGAUGAGGCAGGCAGCUGAAUGAAAAUAUCAGAUUUAAAGGUAUAGGCCUCACUCCCACUCUGCCUACCUGGGUGGCCUUGGGCAGGUGGCUUGACCUCUUGAGCUUCAGAGUUUCCUCCCAAAUAGGGGUGACAACAUUUCGUCCUAGGGCUGUCACAGUAGUAAACUAUGUGCAUUGUGGGCCGGCCCAGUGGCGCAGUGGUUAAGUGCGCACGUUCCGUUUCUCGGAGGCCUGGGGUUCGCCGGUUCGGAUCUCGGGUGCGGACAUGGCACCACUUGGCAAGCGGUGCUGUGGCAGGCGUCCCACUUAUAAAGUAGAGGAAGGUGGGUACGGAUGUUAGCUCAGGGCCAGUCUUCCUCAGCAAAAAGAGGAGGAUUGGCAGUAGUUAACUCAGGGCUAAUCUUCCUCAAAGAAAAGAAAACUAUGUGCAUAAAGAAUGUUGUUAUUAUCAUUACUAUUAAGCUACCAGGACAUCACAUUGCUGGCUGAUAGAGAAUUCUAUUAUAUGGUUUUUCCUAACCUGCUUCAAAGUAAUCUACUCUGGUCCCCUUUUAAGGAAAACAUGGCUUGUCCAGCAGCAGGGACUGCUGAGAUGCAAUCUUUAGUCAAGGGCCAGUAAGAGCCUUUAAACAAUGUUGUUGUUUUUAAACUGCAAAAGUGGUACAUGCUUUUUGUGAAAAAAUUUGAAUAUGACAGAAGAACAUAUUGAAAAACAAAAAUCCUCUUCUAUCCUCGUUGUCUCAAUCUUGCCCGGAGGUAAGCCUUAUGUAGUUCAGCAUGUGUGUGUGUGUGUGUGUGUGUUAGAUGGAAAUUAUACGAUUCGUUACUAUUCUUUGGCUUUGCUUUUUUUUCACUUAGCAUAUCUUGGGGAUCUUUUCAUUCUUUUUUCCAGCUGCAUCUGCAUAGUUUUUCAUAAGAAGGACGAGUUGUAUCUCGUGGAGCCAUUGCCCUGUUGGUGAACAUUAAGUUAUUUCUAGUUUUUCUGUGGCAAACAAUGCUGCAAUGAGCAUAGGAUGAAUAGUUAUGUCCUAACUCGGCAGUAGCCACUCAGUAACUUUUUAUUACCUCAGGUUGCUUCAACCCGUGCUUCCUAAAACACUCUCCUCUUGAUCUCGUUGCCUACCUAAAGAGAUAGCAUCAGACAUGAACAAAGCAGAUGACUUUAACAGUUUGGUGAUUUCUAAUAAACUUAUACACUUACGCUACUACCACCACAACCCCAUUUUAGGGCAUUUUCAUUACCCCAAAAAGUUCUUUUUUGUACCUCUUUGAGGUUAAUUUCCAUACUCACCCCAGCUGUAAGCAACCACUGAUAGGAUUUCUGUCUCUAAUGUUUGUCUUAUCUGGAAAUUUCGUAUAAAUGGAAUCAUAAUAUGUAGUCUUCUGUGUCUGGUUUUUGUUUUUGUUUUUGGUGAGGAAGAUUGGCUCUGAGUUAACAUUUGUGCCAAUCCUUCUCUACUUUGUAUGUGGGAUGCCACCACAGCGUGGCUUCAUGAGCCUUGUGUAGGUCUGUGCUGGGGAUCCAAACCAGGGUCGCAGAAGCAAAGCAUGUAAACUUAACCACUACCGCACUGGGCCAGCCCGUGUCUGGAUUCUUUUACUUGGCAAAACGGUUUUUGAUACUCAAUCUUGUUGUCGGAUGUCUCGGUUAUUGCUGAAUAGUGCUCCAUUGCAUAGGGUACCACAAUUUGUUCACUCAUUUGGAUUGUUUCCAGUUUGGGACUAUUUUCCGUUUUUGCCUGUUAUGAAUAACGAUACCAUGAACGUUUGUAUACAAGUUUGUGUAUGGACAUAUAUUUUUAUUUCUCUUGACUAGAUACCUGGAAGUGGAAUUACUGGGUCUUAUGAUUAGUACAUGUUUAACUUUUUAAAAAUAUUGCCAAAUUAUUUUCCAAAGUGGUUGCUCCGUUUUACAUUCCUACCAGCCACGGAUGAGGGUUCUGGUUUCUCCACAUUCUCACCAACGCUUGGUACUGUCAGCCUUUUGGAUUAUAGCCGUUCUAGUGGUUGUGUAGUGGUACCACACGGUCAUUUUAAUUUCCAUUUUCCUAAUAACUGGUGAUGUUGGGCACUUUUUCAUGUGUUUAUUAGCCAUUCACCUAUGUUCUAUGUUAAAGUGCUUAAUCACAUCUUCUGUCCAUUUUUUACUCGGCUAUUUGCUUUUUGUUAUUGUAAUAGUUCUUUGUAUAUUCUGAAUUCAACCCUUUUAUGUAUAUGUACAUAUACUUACACAUAUGAUUUCUAUAUAGAUAUGUGAUUUACAGAUAUUUUCUCCCAACCCGUGGCUUGUGUUUUCUUUUUCUUAGUGGGGGCUUUUGAAAAACAAAAUAAUUUUGGCAAAGUCUAAAUUUGUCAAUUUUUCUAUUAUGGAUCAUGCCUUGGGUGUCAUAUACAAGAAAUCUUUGCUUCAUUCAAAGUCACACGGAUUUUCUCUUACGUUUUCUUCUAGAAGUUUUAUAAAAAUAACGUGAUUUUUUAAGUUAUUUCAAAGCCUGGAGGAAGCUGACGUUCUCUAGAGCCCCUUUCUAGGCUGAAGUCAGCGGUGCGUGGAGUUAAAUCUACAGAGCAGCCCCUUCCCACCUUUGCAGGGUAGUUUUCACAGGUUGGCUACAACAUGUAUCUAUAGAAUCAACUAGCUGGCCUUUAUUACUGACUCUUUAGAAUUUUUUUCUCAAGGAAAAGUGUGAAGUCAUGUUCAUUUAGAAGGAUCAGGAAAGGUUCCCUUUGAGAUCAUAUGUAUUCCUAUAUCAUGAAUACAAUGUUCUCAGUGUGCUGUAUCAUUUAGCAAGUGGAGGGCAUUAUCUCUCAAAACAAAAGCAGUACAGAGUCAUUUCCUAUUACUAAUGGCUUUGAUGUGGGCGUAGUUCCACUUGCGUCUCUCUGUUUGUAGUAACUCACUUUAUUUCUCUAGGUAAUGAGACUAUUACUUCUUAGCCCUUAGCAAAGUUCUUUCACCGUGUGUGUGUGUGUGUGUGUGUGUGUGUGUCUGUGUGUCUGUGUGUCUGUGUGUGUGUGUGUGUGUUUGUUGAAGAGCUACAUUGCUCUUGCUUAUCGGGAGAACUUGAAUCCUGUUUCUCUCAAACCUUCAUUGAUCAUAGCGUAUAUACGUCCUCUCCCCUUAUUUGAAACUCUUAGGGCCAGAUAUAUUUAAAAAUGCACAGGUCUUUUUAAAUUUUAGAAAGAUAGUACAGUGAAUAUUCUGGAUGAAUAUAAUUUCUCCAGGGAGUCAAGAUGACCAGUAUUUUAUAAGAUAAACAUGUUAAUAUUAAAAAAUACACUAAAUAUUUACAAUAUAUGAGAUAAAUAAAGACUAUAAACAGCUUCGAUCAGUUCAGAUCAGGUUUUCCACUAUUUGAAUUCAGGUCUGGUUAGUUUUGGGUGCAAAUGAGUUUUAAAACCUUUCCAUUUAAAGCGUUUUUGGAUUUCUGAAUUGAGAGGAAGGGUUAGUGGAUCUGCAUUGCUUUUCCUGGGAACCCACUACACCAGCCGCUUAGUGUGGUGUGUCACGUUCCUUAGCCUCUGGACCACUGCUGGGCCUGCGUUUGGAGCUGCUGUGAGCGGCUGUCACAUUCCAGGAGACACAGGGAAGAGUUUUCUGAGGGAACAUUUUAAAGAGAGAGAAUUUCCACUGGAUGCAAGGCUGCGGUUUAGAUUGUUUUCUAGGGGGAAGGUAUUUUGCCAUUCAAAUCAAUAUAUGCUUUAAAAGAUACUUCCCCGUCUCCCACUCAUUCUAGUGCAUGACUUCUAUCUGCUUCACGGCACAGGAUCUCAGAGGCAGAUGCCCAAUAAAGAUCUGUUAUCUAGGGGGCCUGGAUUCCUGGCUUGGGGUGAAAUUAUACCCUUUAAAAUGGAAUUGAGUCCAGCUGUGAUAUAUUUGGAUCCCAUGGAGAGCUAGAUUAUGUGGUCAAUGGCAGCUCAGAAGCACGUUUUAAUCACCAAGCGCUAUGGUGCUGACCUGACAGCGCUGGUGGAAUCACCGGCCCGUGUUCCUGGGGAAAAUGAGAGCCUCCUGGAUGCCCACAACUUCUUUCCUCACGAAUAGGAAGCAUCUUUGCAAUUCAUCUAAUGGCACUUUAAGAAAAAAUUACAGAAGCAGUACAUAUUCGUCACAAAAUAUUUACACAAGGAAAUGAUACACAAGAGUUUACAUGAGUGUAUAAAGUAAAAAUGUAAAAGCCCCUCAGUGCUAGUCUCCCACUCUGUUCCUGCCACCCUCUUCAAGAGGUCACCACUGAUAGUAAUUUGGUGUGUGUCAUUCUAGGCCUUUUUCUUUCUAGCAAUGUAUGUACACACAUGAACACACUUGCGCAGUCACAUUUAUAAGGAAAUGGACCAUACUCUUCAAAUUGUUGUCUCACUUCCUUUUCUUAACAAUCAGAGACAUCUUUCUUUGACACUACCAUCCUUUCGAUGGCUGCAGAGCAUUACCAAGAUGUAUAUAAUCAGUCCCCAGGUGAAAAAUGUUUAGGUAAUUUUGAGGGGUAUUACCAACUACAAUGACAUUUCUUAUUCAUAUAUUUUUAUGCAUAUGUCUUUUUUUUAGAGUAGAUAGUAAAAUUUUCAUGGUUUUUGGUGUAUCUCCAAGGUCUUACUCCCAAUGAUUGUAUUUUAGUUUGAAUUUCAGCACUGUCUCCUGUCCUUCUUUCUUUCUGUUUUUUUUUUUUUUUUUUUUUUUUGCUGAGGAAGAUUAGCCCUGAGGUAGCAUCUGUGCCACUGCUCCUCCAUUUUAUAUGUGGGUCACCGCCACAGCAUGGCUGAAGAGUGGUGUAGGUCUGUGCCUGGGAUCUGAACCUUGACCUGAGCCCUUGAAGCAGAGCACACCAAACUCAAACACUGUGCCACGGGGUCGGCCUUCUUUCCUUCUAUUGUUUAUCUAGAAAGCCACUGGGGCACUGGUAGUCCUUGUUGGACACAUGAAUGUCUCCUGGGGUGAGGAUGGGGGAUGUACAAAGAGGAGGAUUAUUUAUGUUUACAACUUUUGACAUUUUUGAUGUUGCCUGCUAGAUAUUAACUAAAUGUCAUGUUCUUUUAUUUCCUCCCAUGUAUAGGACAGGUCAGAUAAGAUAAGAGCUUGCCUUCAGCUGUGUAAAUUGUUACAGUCUUUCUGGAGAGCUCUUGACAUUAUCUACUAAAAUUUAGAAUGUUCGUACUUUUGAUCCUGCAAUUCUACUGCUACAUGGCACUAUGGAAAUCACUUUGUUUUGAGAGCUGAAAGAUUUUGUUCAGAUAUGAAGCUCAGCAGCUUUUAGGAGUCUUUAAAUAGUUCCAGCAACGGAAUGAAUGUCUGCGUUGCCCUCAAAAUUCAUACCUUGAAAUCCUAAUUCCCAACGUGAUGGUUUUAGAAGGUGGGGCCUUCGGGAGGUACUUAGAUCAUGAUCCCUCAUGAAUGGGAUUAGUGCCCUUGUAAAAGACACCCCUGAGAGUUCUCUCACUCUCUUUCUGCCUUGUGAGGAUACAACGAGAAGUCAGCUGUCUGCAACCUGGAAGAGGGUCCACACCAGAAUCCGACCAUGCUGGCACCCUGAUCUUAGACUUCCAGCCUCCUGAACUGGGUCUCAGAGAAUAUCAGCUGCUGGCAGACGGGAAUGGAAUUUGACUCAACAGACAUUUAUUGCACUCCAGCUGUGUGCCAAGACAUGCCCUGAAAUCUGGGAGUGUGCAACACAGGGGAAGAAAAGACUCAUUGCCAAGGAGCUUUCGCCUAGGAGGGUCUCCAUGAGCCGCACGAGGAACAGGUGGAGGAGAAACUCAGAGCUGUUACAUUCAGCGUCAAGAUGCAGAACUAUAGCUUCCUGAUUAUCACUAAUGCUGGGUAGCGCUAGCAUCAGAAAACCGAGUUCCCGGAGAGGUCUGCUCAGCCAAGUCGGUGCAGGAAAGGACAAUGAUGAAGUGAAUAAUGGGGCUACUAAAACAGUUCUGGACACCAGGAGUGAAAAUCAGACAGCGGACAGAAAUCAAGGUGUCAGCAGGCUGGACUCCCCCUGGAGUCUCUGAGGGUGAAUGCAUUCCUUGCCUCUUCCAGCGUCUGAUGGCUACCAGGAUUCCUUCGCUUGUGGCUAUAUCACUCCUAUUUUCAAGGAGGGAGAAGAGGACCAUGAUUCCGGCUAACAAAUAAGUUGAUUGAUACAAGCAUGGGUUCACAUAGUUCAGUUGGAGCAAAAAUUGGAAAGAGUCAUGACGGUCAAGUAUGGGUAAGAUUUCUAGUAAUUUUUACAGUAAUGACCAAAAUUUAUUUUUUACCUUGUCAAUAAAUUUCCAUUUAGAUUUUGUUUCAUACAUACUCAAGAACAGCUUGGGACAUUUUAAGAUUUUUAUCCAAAGGGGAAAUUAAAAGUAACAAGUUCAUUUUGUGAGUCAGUGUACAUUGAGAAUAGGGUACAGCUCUGGUGUCCCAUUUACUAGUCCCAUGCUGUGCCAUUAAAUUAUACAUUGAACCUAUUGAAUUAAUAUAUGUUAUUUAUUGAAAGUCAUCUAGUGUGAUUUGAUUUAAACUCUAAACCACAUCAGGACAUCCAGGGAUUCAGCUAAGUCAAUCUAAAUUCCACUCAAUUUCAGGCAUUUGGUGGUAUGGGCAAACGAUCAAUUGGUUUGAUGGUCUUUUUCAUUUGAUUUCUGAGACCAGAUGUUUAUCAUCAUAUAGAGAUGAUAUAUAUAGAGAGAGAUCUGUGAAGUGAUUUGAUAGGAUCAGGUAAACAGAAGUUGAAAUUUUAUCCGAAGACUGGAAUUUGGGGGUAACAAUAUUUUCAACUUCUUUGUGACCAGUUAUGCUGAUACCAUGGAGAAUCAAGCUGAUACUCUUAGCGUAGGUAGCAGAAUAAUCCGCUUUUUUCCACUGGACCAUCUGGAGAAAGCUAUUGGUUGCAUGGCGUUAUAUAUGAUGUACAAGAGACUAAUGGAAAUGCAAACAUUUCAUUAAAGUUUGAGAUCUCAGAGCUCCUCAGGCCACCAUCGUCCUCAGAUAUUGCUUUCUCAAUGGCUUUGGGCCAAUUACUUGGCCUCUCCACCUCAGCUUCUCAAUUGGUGAAAUGGGAACUAUUACAGUGUGAUUAAUUUAUCUCCUAAGGGGGUUGUUUAUAUUAAUUAACUGCUGUUAAGAGCUUUGAAGAUGAAAAGUGCUAACUGCUUAUGCCAUGAUUAGCCAUGGAACAGUGGAAUAUGAUAAGUGCUUCACUAGAUAAAUGACUAAACCUGAUACACACAAACUGUGAAAUCUGUGGGAGGAGUUAAGAGACCCAGGGCAACAAGACAG
Molecule: long non-coding RNA, 13004 nt
Organism: Equus caballus (horse)
Lineage: Eukaryota; Metazoa; Chordata; Mammalia; Perissodactyla; Equidae
Source: Ensembl